GACGAACGCUGGCGGCGUGCUUAACACAUGCAAGUCGAACGGAAAGGCCCUGCUUUUGUGGGGUGCUCGAGUGGCGAACGGGUGUGUAACACGUGAGUAACCUGCCCUUGACUUUGUGAUAACUUCAGGAAACUGGGGCUAAUACCGGAUAGGAGCUCCUGCUGCAUGGUGGGGGUUGGUAAGUUUCGGCGGUUGGGGAUGGACUCGCGGCUUAUCAGCUUGUUGGUGGGGUAGUGGCUUACCAAGGCUUUGACGGGUAGCCGGCCUGAGAGGGUGACCGGCCACAUUGGGACUGAGAUACGGCCCAGACUCCUACGGGAGGCAGCAGUGGGGAAUAUGGCACAAUGGGCGGAAGCCUGAGGCAGCAACGCCGCGUGCGGGAUGACGGCCUUCGGGUUGUAAACCGCUUUCGCCUGUGACGAAGCGUGAGUGACGGUAAUGGGUAAAGAAGCACCGGCUAACUACGUG
This 468-nucleotide ribosomal RNA is filed under the name uncultured bacterium. RNAcentral describes it as "partial 16S ribosomal RNA". It matches the Rfam family "Bacterial small subunit ribosomal RNA", at positions 28 to 507 of the family's 1533-position model. The record is from RNAcentral.